This 223-nucleotide long non-coding RNA is filed under the name Salvia miltiorrhiza (redroot sage). Its description in RNAcentral is "long non-coding RNA (SMIL_LNC010876)". The record is from RNAcentral. Lineage: Eukaryota; Viridiplantae; Streptophyta; Magnoliopsida; Lamiales; Lamiaceae.
UAGUCAUUUUGCAUACUCGCCAAUUUUUAGGCCAAAUUUUAUGUCUGAAAUGAUGUUGUUUUCAUCUUCAACUGUACAAUAUUACGUUUGUUCUAUUUUUCUACACGGUCAUAUUUAUGUCACCCGAGUAUAUUUAGGUCAACUGAUCAUAUUUAUGCAAUGUCACCAUGUCAAAAAAUGAGUGAGUAUGCAAAAUGAGAAAAAUAAAAAAAAAUAGUUGAAA